UACGCAGAUGAUGAAAAAAUAGAUAGGGACAUCAACACUCCAAAGGAGAAUGUUGAGUUCGUCUAAUGGGAAUCUCUCUGAUGCGUU
Vigna radiata var. radiata (mung bean) is the source of this 87-nucleotide non-coding RNA. The record is from Rfam. Lineage: Eukaryota; Viridiplantae; Streptophyta; Magnoliopsida; Fabales; Fabaceae.